AGUGAACGCUGGCGGUAGGCCUAACACAUGCAAGUCGAACGGCAGCACAGUAAGAGCUUGCUCUUACGGGUGGCGAGUGGCGGACGGGUGAGGAAUACAUCGGAAUCUACUUUUUCGUGGGGGAUAACGUAGGGAAACUUACGCUAAUACCGCAUACGACCUACGGGUGAAAGCAGGGGAUCUUCGGACCUUGCGCGAUUGAAUGAGCCGAUGUCGGAUUAGCUAGUUGGCGGGGUAAAGGCCCACCAAGGCGACGAUCCGUAGCUGGUCUGAGAGGAUGAUCAGCCACACUGGAACUGAGACACGGUCCAGACUCCUACGGGAGGCAGCAGUGGGGGAUAUUGGACAAUGGGCGCAAGCCUGAUCCAGCCAUACCGCGUGGGUGAAGAAGGCCUUCGGGUUGUAAAGCCCUUUUGUUGGGAAAGAAAAGCAGCAGGUUAAUACCCCGCUGUCCUGACGGUACCCAAAGAAUAAGCACCGGCUAACUUCGUG
RNAcentral lists this ribosomal RNA (492 nucleotides) under uncultured bacterium. Its description in RNAcentral is "partial 16S ribosomal RNA". It matches the Rfam family "Bacterial small subunit ribosomal RNA", at positions 29 to 507 of the family's 1533-position model. The record is from RNAcentral.